Molecule: ribosomal RNA, 532 nt
Filed under: Enterobacter ludwigii
Lineage: Bacteria; Pseudomonadati; Pseudomonadota; Gammaproteobacteria; Enterobacterales; Enterobacteriaceae
Also listed under: 1 other name
Description: bacterial SSU rRNA
Rfam family: Bacterial small subunit ribosomal RNA
Source: RNAcentral
UUGGUGCCUUCGGGAACUCUGAGACAGGUGCUGCAUGGCUGUCGUCAGCUCGUGUUGUGAAAUGUUGGGUUAAGUCCCGCAACGAGCGCAACCCUUAUCCUUUGUUGCCAGCGGUCCGGCCGGGAACUCAAAGGAGACUGCCAGUGAUAAACUGGAGGAAGGUGGGGAUGACGUCAAGUCAUCAUGGCCCUUACGAGUAGGGCUACACACGUGCUACAAUGGCGCAUACAAAGAGAAGCGAACUCGCGAGAGCAAGCGGACCUCAUAAAGUGCGUCGUAGUCCGGAUUGGAGUCUGCAACUCGACUCCAUGAAGUCGGAAUCGCUAGUAAUCGUAGAUCAGAAUGCUACGGUGAAUACGUUCCCGGGCCUUGUACACACCGCCCGUCACACCAUGGGAGUGGGUUGCAAAAGAAGUAGGUAGCUUAACCUUCGGGAGGGCGCUUACCACUUUGUGAUUCAUGACUGGGGUGAAGUCGUAACAAGGUAACCGUAGGGGAACCUGCGGUUGGAUCACCUCCUUACCUUAAAGAA